UACGGAGGGGGCUAGCGUUGUUCGGAAUUACUGGGCGUAAAGCGCGCGUAGGCGGACCUGCAAGUCGGGGGUGAAAGCCCGAGGCUCAACCUCGGAACUGCCUUCGAUACUGCGGGUCUCGAGUCCGGGAGAGGUGAGUGGAAUUCCUAGUGUAGAGGUGAAAUUCGUAGAUAUUAGGAAGAACACCAGUGGCGAAGGCGGUUCACUGGCCCGGUACUGACGCUGAGGCGCGAAAGCGUGGGGAGCAAACAGG
This 253-nucleotide ribosomal RNA is filed under the name uncultured bacterium. RNAcentral describes it as "partial 16S ribosomal RNA". It matches the Rfam family "Bacterial small subunit ribosomal RNA", at positions 524 to 776 of the family's 1533-position model. The record is from RNAcentral.